This 118-nucleotide ribosomal RNA is filed under the name Amphiprion percula (orange clownfish). Lineage: Eukaryota; Metazoa; Chordata; Actinopteri; Pomacentridae. The record is from RNAcentral.
GCUUACGGCCAUACCAGCCUGAAUGCGCCCGAUCUCGUCUGAUCUCGAAAGCUAGGCAGGGUCGGGCCUGGUUAGUACUUGGAUGGGAGACCGCCUGGGAAUCCAGGUGCUGUAAGCU